CAGCCGCCGCGGUAAUACCGGCAGCACGAGUGAUAGCCACUAUUAUUGGGCCUAAAGCGUCCGUAGCCGGCUACACAGGUCCGUCGGGAAAUCCACCCGCUCAACGGGUGGGCGUCCGGCGGAAACCAGGUAGCUUGGGGCCGGAAGACCAGAGGGGUACGUCCGGGGUAGGAGUGAAAUCCUGUAAUCCUGGACGGACCACCGGUUGCGAAAGCGCCUCUGGAGGACGGACCCGACGGUGAGGGACGAAAGCUUGGGUCUCGAACCGGAUUAGAUACCCGGGUAGUCCAAGCUGUAAACGAUGCUCGCUAGGUGCGGCGCAGGCUACGAGCCUGCGCUGUGCCGUAGGGAAGCCGAGAAGCGAGCCGCCUGGGAAGUACGUCCGCAAGGAUGAAACUUAAGGGAAUUGGCGGGGGAGCAC
Molecule: ribosomal RNA, 421 nt
Filed under: uncultured Halococcus sp.
Lineage: Archaea; Methanobacteriati; Methanobacteriota; Halobacteria; Halobacteriales; Halococcaceae
Description: bacterial SSU rRNA
Rfam family: Archaeal small subunit ribosomal RNA
Source: RNAcentral